Bubalus bubalis (water buffalo) is the source of this 1869-nucleotide long non-coding RNA. RefSeq lists it as uncharacterized. The record is from RefSeq and is a predicted model, not a curated record. Lineage: Eukaryota; Metazoa; Chordata; Mammalia; Artiodactyla; Bovidae. The transcript is spliced from 3 exons.
UCCCCACAGAGGGGAGCCAAGCGGGCUACAGUCCAUGGGGUCGCAAAGAGUUGGACACGACUGAGAGACUGAGCACAGCGCAUAGAACAUGGGACCCAAGGUAAUUCUCAAAAGACUCCUCCGUUUCAGUUUUAGAUACAGGAGCCAGCUCCACAAUUGAAAAGUAAAGAUGUUGUCUUCCUUAGCCAGUGGGGAGAAAGUUCCAGAAUUAGUGUCAGUUUGGGUAUCACAGAAUCAGAUGAGGAGCUCAGCAGAAAAUCAUACAGUGCAGCACAUGAUGACUCCAUCACCCAGGAAGGCUCACAAGAAGGGACUUAAAACAUUAGUAGUCUGUGUGAUUCAUGUACUGAUGACCUGUAUAAGAUGUAGGAUAGAAGAUAAACCUUAGAAAGGAUGUAUUCCUGAUGCAAUCAGACUAGGGACUUUACUUACCUAACGAGUAAGAACAAGUGACAGUUGAGUAAGUUCCUGUGAUUGCCAAAUGUGCUGGUAGUUUCUCAGAUUGUGGCUGCUGUGGAAAAAAGUCCCUUCUCCUGCACUUCCUCUCUCUGGAGCCUCGAAGUCCUGGGAAUGAAGAAGAACACAAUGAUGACUGUGGUCCUGAGUGAGAAGGUACUUUGGAAGAGGCAUGGUGAAGGCUUUAAGCCACGGUACUCUGUGAUCUUGGAUCUUGGUCUUUCUCUUAGUAAAGAGUUGGAAAACCUGUUCAAUCCACUUUUGAGAGAUUAUGGAGAAAGACAAAUUCAGGCAAGUGAUUCAUAGAUUAAAAGUAUCAUGAAAAACAGGAAAUGAGGAAGCAAGACUAUAAUCAAUCCUAAUAAAUGGUAAGUAAAUCCUCCCCUCACACAUGGAAAAAAUUGGGUGUGAAGAGGCAUGAUGUUCCUUCUAAAGUAUCAACAUUAUUGAAUAUAUGAAGUGCUGGCUCAUGAUGUUUCAUUUACCUCAAGUCUACUUUUAUUUCUCCCUCCACAUGUUUGUGUUUUUUCCUCAGUUCACUUGCUCAUGGGCUUUGCUUUGUUCCUGCUCAAAGACCAGAGCCCACAGUGGAGCCUGGAGCAGAGUGAGGAUUCAACAUAUACUUGUUGAGUCCAUCGGGUCAGAAGUCUACUCCAUCAAUUCCUUUGUUCAUUUUCUCAUUGGAUACCUUAUUGAGUAUUUGUUAUGUACCAGAUUCUGUGCCAGUUCAUGAGGAUAAAAAGAUGAAUCAGAAGUUGUCCCUUCCCUAAUGAAGCUCAUAAACUAGUGACCCAACAGUGACAUAAGCAGAGUUGAAAUUUCACUGGAUAAGCUUAAUAACAGACACAGGCUGUUAUUAAUAACAGCACAGUUGACACAGGCUGCAGCAGGGGGGAGAGGAGGGGCAGGGAGAGGUCAGAGGAGGUUCCAGAAGAAGGAAGCCUCACUUCCUGUACUGCAGAGAUCUCCAGAUGAGCCAAGGAAAGGCCCUGUGAGCACACAGCUGGAAGGUGACCAUCUACAAGCUAGGAGGAGUGUCCUCACCAGGAACCAGCCCUGCUGGCACCUUCAUCUUAGACUUCCCAGCUUUCAGAACAGGAAGAACACAAAUAUCUGCUGUUUAGGCCACACACUCUAUGCUAUUCUGUCCUAGCAUAGCCCUAGUUGACUAAGUCAACAAAUAAUAAUAAUUUUGGUUCUGCUUUAUAGAUAAAAUCCUCAUUAGUUAAAUAGACUUGUCAGGCCACUCAGCUGGAGCCAGGUUUCAAAGCCCAGCUUCCCUGGUCACCAAAACAUUGCCCUUUCACCAUAGUUCUCUGCUUUAUGCUGUCGUAUAUUUGUAGAAAGAAAGAAAGAGACUAGCUUGGUGGUCCACUGUUUGAGAAUCUGCCUGCCAGUGCAGGGGACAUGGGU